RNAcentral lists this long non-coding RNA (1184 nucleotides) under Salmo salar (Atlantic salmon). Its description in RNAcentral is "lncRNA (ENSSSAG00000100697.1)". Lineage: Eukaryota; Metazoa; Chordata; Actinopteri; Salmoniformes; Salmonidae. The record is from RNAcentral.
GAACAGGUCUAACAGAGGUCUGUCCAUCCGUGCAGAGAUGCCGUUGUCUUUGAUAGUGGUACCGCGGUAGUCUAACUGGUGUGGGUCCCUCUAGGAGCAACACGUCCACUCCAAUGAAGUAUCUGUCGCUAGAGAAUCACACCUUGACAAGCCAUUGAGUCUAGACAUUACCGCACAGCCCAAUUACCCUCUAAAAUGACCGUACGGAUCAAUAACGAACAGCAUUGAAUCAGAAUCGAAUGAAUCAAAUGGAUGCUAUUGACAUUGUUUACAACAUUUCGUUUUUUAUUUUUUUAUUAUACAAUCUCACCAAAACGACAUAAUUAGUUAGAUCUAUUAGCGAAUAACGCGCUAGAAAAAUAAACAACCAUUCAAUAAUAUCGAGUCUCUCGGAGGAUUGUUCUUCUGGAGAUAUUACAGAUGCAUGAAUGAAUGCGUUUAACAACUUAACCGGUGGGGCGGAAAUGAGAAGAGCACCUGGUAGUGUGUUCAGACAGACGGUCAGGUGCAGAGUACAUCCGGACCCACAGCGACGCUUAGUGGAGAAGUUUAGGGAACUGCAGACGAGGUUGUGGAAGCUGGUUAGUUUCUAUAGCAACCUUCCAGACUGUUCUCUUCUGAGGGGGGGGGGGGGGAGAGAUGUUAUUGUCUGAUGUUAAAUAGAACUAGAGGACGGAAGGAUUGACUGACGACCUGAUUUGACAGGUGUUUUCAUUGUACCCGAUUCAUGCUGCUGCACAGCACUGACUUUGAGUUAUGUAGAAAUAUAAUUUAAAUCAUAAGGAAAAUGAUUUGGGCAGCUAUUUUCACGUACUGGGAUGAAUGGUUAUAUAUGGUGUAGUCUAGACAGGCAGAGAAAUGAGAGACAGACAGAGACCUAAUACUGCAGGUAGAAAUGUAUUGAUAUCAGAAUCAAUAGAAACAUAUAUUGUCUCUGAUUAAAAAAAACUCCCCUGAAUCCGAGGCAGAAAGAUAAACAGCUUAUUGGCCACUUAUAUCAACAGCGUCAUUAUACAAGUCACCUAGCGUUCCAGGCCGACUCCAUUUCAGGUCACCUUGUCUUCUGAUGCCAUAUGACAUCACCAUAUCACUUUGCUACAGUGGACUACUACCUGAACCCUGCAGAUCCCCCUCCAAUCCCCCUCCGUUGCCCUCCAAACCCCCUCCAAUCCCCUCCAUCCCCC